RNAcentral lists this ribosomal RNA (766 nucleotides) under Kocuria rhizophila. RNAcentral's name for it is "bacterial SSU rRNA". It matches the Rfam family "Bacterial small subunit ribosomal RNA", at positions 717 to 1473 of the family's 1533-position model. The record is from RNAcentral. Lineage: Bacteria; Bacillati; Actinomycetota; Actinomycetes; Micrococcales; Micrococcaceae.
GAAGGCAGGUCUCUGGGCUGUUACUGACGCUGAGGAGCGAAAGCAUGGGGAGCGAACAGGAUUAGAUACCCUGGUAGUCCAUGCCGUAAACGUUGGGCACUAGGUGUGGGGAACAUUCCACGUUUUCCGCGCCGUAGCUAACGCAUUAAGUGCCCCGCCUGGGGAGUACGGCCGCAAGGCUAAAACUCAAAGGAAUUGACGGGGGCCCGCACAAGCGGCGGAGCAUGCGGAUUAAUUCGAUGCAACGCGAAGAACCUUACCAAGGCUUGACAUACACCGGACCGGGCCAGAGAUGGUCUUUCCCCCUUGUGGGGCUGGUGUACAGGUGGUGCAUGGUUGUCGUCAGCUCGUGUCGUGAGAUGUUGGGUUAAGUCCCGCAACGAGCGCAACCCUCGUUCUAUGUUGCCAGCACGUGAUGGUGGGGACUCAUAGGAGACUGCCGGGGUCAACUCGGAGGAAGGUGGGGAUGACGUCAAAUCAUCAUGCCCCUUAUGUCUUGGGCUUCACGCAUGCUACAAUGGCCAGUACAAUGGGUUGCGAUGCCGCGAGGUGGAGCUAAUCCCAAAAAGCUGGUCUCAGUUCGGAUCGUGGUCUGCAACUCGACCACGUGAAGUCGGAGUCGCUAGUAAUCGCAGAUCAGCAACGCUGCGGUGAAUACGUUCCCGGGCCUUGUACACACCGCCCGUCAAGUCACGAAAGUUGGUAACACCCGAAGCCGGUGGCCUAACCCUUGUGGGGGGAGCCGUUUGUAAUGAUUGGUUUUACC